Molecule: ribosomal RNA, 115 nt
Filed under: Salvia splendens (bonfire salvia)
Lineage: Eukaryota; Viridiplantae; Streptophyta; Magnoliopsida; Lamiales; Lamiaceae
Source: RNAcentral
GCGUUCAUACCAGCAGUAAUGCACCGGAUCCCAUCAGAACUCCGAAGUUAAGCGUGCUUGGGCGAGAAUAAUACUGGGAUGGGUUGCCCACUGGUAAGUCCUCGUGUUGCACCCC